GGGGAAUAACAGUUGGAAACGAUUGCUAAUGCCCCAUAAGCUCAGGGAUGAGCUCGCGCCUGAUUAGCUAGUUGGUAAGAUAAAAGCUUACCAAGGCAACGAUCAGUAGCUGGUUUGAGAGGACGAUCAGCCACACUGGGACUGAGACACGGCCCAGACUUCUACGGGAGGCAGCAGUGGGGAAUUUUCCGCAAUGGGCGAAAGCCUGACGGAGCAAUACCGCGUGAGGGAAGAAUGCCCGUGGGUUGUAAACUUCUUUUCUUAGGGAAGAAGCUCUGACGGUACCUAAAGAAUAAGCAUCGGCUAACUCCGUGCCAGCAGCCGCGGUAAUACGGAGGAUGCAAGCGUUAUCCGGAAUCACUGGGCGUAAAGCGUCUGUAGGUGGCUUAUAAAGUCCGCUGUUAAAUCUUAGGGCUCAACCCUAAGCCAGCAGUAGAAACUUCUAGGCUAGAGUAUGGUAGGGGCAGAGGGAAUUCCCAGUGUAGCGGUGAAAUGCGUAGAUAUUGGGAAGAACACCAGAGGCGAAAGCGCUCUGCUAGGCCAUUACUGACACUAAGAGACGAAAGCUAGG
Molecule: ribosomal RNA, 571 nt
Filed under: Florideophyceae sp. ex Dinophysis acuminata
Lineage: Eukaryota; Rhodophyta; Florideophyceae
Description: bacterial SSU rRNA
Rfam family: Bacterial small subunit ribosomal RNA
Source: RNAcentral